RNAcentral lists this ribosomal RNA (673 nucleotides) under uncultured Methylophilaceae bacterium. RNAcentral's name for it is "bacterial SSU rRNA". It matches the Rfam family "Bacterial small subunit ribosomal RNA", at positions 395 to 1057 of the family's 1533-position model. Lineage: Bacteria; Pseudomonadati; Pseudomonadota; Betaproteobacteria; Nitrosomonadales; Methylophilaceae. The record is from RNAcentral.
UUCCGCGUGAGUGAAGAAGGCCUUCGGGUUGUAAAGCUCUUUCGCAAGAGAAGAAAACUUGCUAUCUAAUAAAUAGUAAGCAUGACGGUAUCUUGACAAGAAGCACCGGCUAACUACGUGCCAGCAGCCGCGGUAAUACGUAGGGUGCAAGCGUUAAUCGGAAUUACUGGGCGUAAAGCGUGCGCAGGCAGUUUUAUAAGUCAGAUGUGAAAUCCCCGAGCUCAACUUGGGAACUGCGUUUGAAACUGUAAGACUAGAGUGUGUCAGAGGGGGGUAGAAUUCCAAGUGUAGCAGUGAAAUGCGUAGAGAUUUGGAGGAAUACCAAUGGCGAAGGCAGCCCCCUGGGAUAACACUGACGCUCAUGCACGAAAGCGUGGGGAGCAAACAGGAUUAGAUACCCUGGUAGUCCACGCCCUAAACGAUGUCUACUAGUUGUUGGUGGAGUAAAAUCCAUGAGUAACGCAGCUAACGCGUGAAGUAGACCGCCUGGGGAGUACGGUCGCAAGAUUAAAACUCAAAUGAAUUGACGGGGGCCCGCACAAGCGGUGGAUUAUGUGGAUUAAUUCGAUGCAACGCGAAAAACCUUACCUGGCCUUGACAUGUACCGAAUUUAGCAGAGAUGCUUUAGUGCUCGAAAGAGAACGGUAACACAGGUGCUGCAUGGCUGUCGUCA